GGAGGGGUGCCAGAGCGGUUGAAUGGGGCGGUCUCGAAAACCGUUGUGCGCGUGAGUGUACCGAGGGUUCGAAUCCCUCUCCCUCCGCCA
RNAcentral lists this transfer RNA (90 nucleotides) under Candidatus Paracaedimonas acanthamoebae. RNAcentral's name for it is "tRNA-Ser". It matches the Rfam family "tRNA". From Rfam's summary of the family: Transfer RNA (tRNA) molecules are approximately 80 nucleotides in length. Lineage: Bacteria; Pseudomonadati; Pseudomonadota; Alphaproteobacteria; Holosporales; Caedimonadaceae. The record is from RNAcentral.